This is a long non-coding RNA of Nymphalis io (European peacock), 634 nucleotides long. RefSeq lists it as uncharacterized. Lineage: Eukaryota; Metazoa; Arthropoda; Insecta; Lepidoptera; Nymphalidae. The record is from RefSeq and is a predicted model, not a curated record. The transcript is spliced from 3 exons.
AAACGCGACAAUUUAUUAAAAAUAUUUAUUUUUACUUUAAACAAUAUUAUUCAUUAUUAUGAGUAACCUAAUAAUACCUAACGUUACCAAAACUCAGCAGAUCGCAAUAUAAGUUAGAACCGGUCUCGAUGCAUGAUUGUCCAUAACACAUGAAGCAGUAUCGGAAAACGAUUUGACUCCAGACGGAAUCCUCGCAACUAAAGGGCCGGCGAGGAGAGAAUAAAACAAAGAAAAGUUUUUAUAACUCUCUCAAUUGCCGCUAUCCGCUACGAGUUUAAAAAAGGAAUUUAUAAGUUAUCUGUGGUGAUAGAAGAAAAUAUUGAAAGAACUUGGAAGCUGGGCAUCAUGUAAAAUUCAUCACGUCGACUUGCCAAGAUCCGUGGUGAAAUUAUAAGCGUCGAUGCACAACUUUUUGUGAGUUGACAUUCGACUUCUACGCCUUGAAGGUUCAUAACUUUGGUGAUACUGUUGAAUCUUUCAUGUGAAUAGUAAUGGAGAAGAUGGCGCCCUACAAUAGCAGCGAAUAACGGCGAAUAAGCUUGGUUGUUCUGGAGGUGACCUUUCCGCUUGACCGGUAAACUAUAAAACUUGAAAAAAUAAAAUGUCCUUGGAAAGUAGAUUUUGCGGCGAGACU